AAUCAGUUCACUGCAGGGUCAGACAAGCACUGGGGCCCUCAGUGCUGGAGCAGAGGAUGGGACCGGGGCUGGGGCACACCUGGCUGCAGUUCGGGUGUUCUGCUGCCAUCACUUGUGAGACUGUGAGCUGUACAGGUCCCUGGUUUGAAACAGGCCACUUCAUCCAGCCCUACCCCUGACAGAGGUGGCUGCCCCCCAGCUCAGGCUGCCCAGGGCCCAUCCACGGCCUCGGGCACCACAGGGAAGCGGCACCCACAGCUCUGGGCAGCAGUGCCAGCACCUCACCACUUCUGAGUGAAGGAUUUCCUCCUGCAACUUUGGGAUAUGUUUCUCAGAUGCUGUGCCACUAGGAGAGCUUCACUAGUGGUGGAGCAGAUGUAGGUCGUGGUGGUGUGUUGACAAGGAAUUCACAAAAGCACGUGAUGAAGUUGUGAUGCAGUCCCUUCAUCCUGUUAGUGUCUGUCCUCAGCAAAGGGGAAGUCCAAUCCUGCAUGCUUCUUGCUCCACUGUUAUUCUUCUUCGUGGCAAUGACCUGGAUCAGAAAACACGUUCAGCUAGGAACUAGCCAGGCUAAAAUGAAAGAAAAAAAAGAGAAAAAAUCACAAACUUGGAGCAAGGCCAGGCUGAAGAUCUUCUGCAGCUCAAAGCUCGUAGGAAUAGGCAGCACAGGGCAGUCACAAUUUGCCCAUGAAGACCUAGGAGGGAAUCAGGCGAACAAAUGGAUCAUGGGGACAUACUUCAAAAGCCAGCUUCUCUCCCUGAAGGAGUCGACUCCCUGCAUCAGUGACUUUGUGGGAGCUUCCCUGCUUCAGUGCAUUAGCAUUAUUUUCCAUGGGCACAGGCUGGGAGAGACAGGUUUCUUCACUUUCUACUGUAUCUGCAUGAGAACAGCCUUCAGGAGGAACGCUGAGACACCACAGACUUCGCAUGUAACAGCUUUGGUGUGGGAACUGCGAUCACCGCUCCGUAAGGCUUUGGCUGCCUUCCCAGCUCGCGGGUGUUGAAGUUCUCGGGGUGUCCUUGCACAGGAGUUGGAGGCGAUUUAUAGCUCGUGUGUUGGGAAACAGCGUUCGUGCAAAUCAUUUUUCUUAGAUAAGUGGGAAAUCUGGAGUCUUUUGGGACUUUUGGGUAGAAAGGCUUUAGCUUUUAUUUUCUUUAGAAGAAAUAACGCAGUGCUCCCACUCCUCGUAUUCAAAGUAGGAAGCAUUUAUGUUUUGGAAGACUUUUAUCUCUGACAAACUGAAUAAGAGAAACAAAAGAAUUAGCCUGAGCUGCCACCUCCUCCCAGACACCCCGAGCAGUCCUAUUAAUGGAUGGUUUUUGCUUUUAGAUGAUAUACAAACUGUCUUUUUAGUUGUCCUGCAAGGCUGAGGCCCUGGCUCCCCAAAGUGCAGCGGUGCUUCCAGCGGCUGAUGCACAGCACUGACGGGCGGCAGGGAGAGACCUGCGUGGAGAGUUUCCGUCAGGCUGCAGCCAUCAGUGUGAGGCUGCUGGGCCGGCUCCAGCCAGCCUGCGUGAUAUUUCCUCUGGAGCUUCAGUCGGAUUAGAUAUUCAUCUUCUCUUCCUGUUCCAAACCGUUGUUUAGUGUUGAUGUGUCCUCUCGUGCUGUUGCCAAGUUCCACGCAGUGGUGGUAAAGGCAGUCCUACAUCUAUGCUGAGAUUAUUAAACUCUUGGGGAAGUUUAACCCUUUCUCUCCAUUGAAGUUAGUGGGACUUAUGCACCUAAAUCUCUUCAACUGCUUUGCAGAUUCCAGUACCACAACAACCUAAAGCCCAGGCUCAGCAGCAGUGGAUCCAGACCUGCUCCCCAGGCUGGGGAUGCUCACCACAAUGGUUUCCCUUCUGGUAAGGGAGCUUGCCAUGCCUGGGCUGCCUGCAACUUGCUUUCCUGCAGAGUGACUUCAACCUGCCCACAGCACCUUGCACAUGAUCCUUGUAUGUGGAGCUUUGCCUUCCAGACUGCACUGUGCCCUUCAAUAUUGUGGUGCUGUUGGCUGGCCUCUACACCAGGAUAGCUGUUACAGCUCUUCUCGUGCCCCACUUUGGACAGGAGCCCGGCAAAAUGACUGUCUCACCAGUGAAGUAAUGAAGGGUGCUGCAGGGAAAUCUUAACACCGUGGUAUUUGAACAUAAUCAUUAAGCCUUUACACUUUUGAUAGAUCACAUGACUGGGUACGAAAUGACUGCAUAAAAACCUAUCUCAUCUGGGAUAGAUGUUAAUAUUCCCCUGGAAAUGCAAGUAGCCAAAUGUUUCCUAAAUGGCUACAGUUCUCUAAAGGAAGAGGGUUUCCUUUGGCAUUUUUUGUUUGGAUUUGCUGUUGUUUUGUUGUCUUUUUUUUCCUCUUUCAAAUCCUUGGUGAUACAAUAACUGCAAACAAAUACGUACAUGCAGAAGUUCACAGCUUCUCACAUGGUACAUGUGCCAUAGAACGGGACAGCGGACACAUAAUGAGGAGCCUAAUCCAUUUCUGAAAUCCAGUCACAGGACUGAUGGCUUAGAAAGACUUUUAAAACUCAUUGUCUGGGAGUACAAGGAUGAAUAACUGUAAUAAGCUUUGAAAUGUAUUUCCUUAAGAACAAUGCGGUCUAUUCCUUUAAGUUGAGGCCUUUGAUUCAUUCAAAGGGCUCUGCUGAGCGCUAAGGAGGGGAGGUAGGAGUCAGGCUGGAAUUAAAGCUUUGGCCUUGGUAGAGGACCUGUAUCUACAAAAGCUUGUUGCAAUCAAAACCCCAAGCAAUCCCACAAAGCCCCUCCUCCAGAUCUGCAACCCUGUGCACAGAAAAGAUGUCAGCUUUUGCUGUAGUUGUUACAGCAUUUUAAUUUCAAAUGGGACUGCAGACCCCUGUUAAUAUUGGUUGGGAAGCAAUAACAUGGAUAAGUUCUGUAGGAAAAAUAUAAAAGCCAGGGAAAAAAAAUUGUGUCAGUGUACCUCUGGUGUCAGUGUGUGAAGUGCCAGCAUACAUAAUGCUGCUUUUCUCCCUUAUUUUUUCAGCCUCAGAAGGACUGGGCUCUUCUCUGUCUGCCUGACUCUGUAAAGAAAUGACCAUGGAGAAGUGUUUCUCGGUGAUGAAUUUCACACAGAAAUCAGAUCCAAGGUCGUCUUCUUCUCUGGCAGGUCUGUGAUUUGGGGCCAGCCCUGAGGAAAUUCUGUCCUCUGCACGUGAGCAUAAGUCAAAACGGGAAGCGGUUCAGCAGAAGUCAGGAACGCUUCCACCGCAAUAAAUGAAAGCGUAAAUUAAAGCAGCUUCAAGGAGCAGCCGUGGCCUUAACACCACGUCUGAAAGGCUCAGUGCUUGCAGACUCAUAGAAAAAAUGGGUUUGGAAAGAUCUGUAGGCAUCCGGAUGAACCAUCUGCUCAGAGCUAACUUCCAAGCUUGAUGGGAGCCAUGCAGGGUAUUACCAGCUGGGUUUGCAAAACCAAAUGCCGUGGAGAAGGGAGUCCUUCUGUCUCAGGAGCAUUGUCACUUGCAGAUGAGCUGUGCCUAGCUUGGGGAUUUAUUGUUAAUUUUGCUCCUGUCUCAAAAGCCUUCGAUCACUCAGGCAAAUUAGAAGCCACAUAAUAAAGAAGAGAUCGGUCAUUCCCUCUCUCCUCCUCUCCCUUGAGCCUGUGCUAAUCGCUUAAAUAAUUCUUCUUAUCUCUAACCAUCCUUUUUUUAUUCUCUUCAAAGCAUCCUUUGGGAAAUGUACUCCAAAGACAGAGCUGAGAGUCUGGCAGCAAAUAAACCGAGUUUCAGUUCCAUCCCUUUUUCCUCUGUAGACCAGGGAGCCCCAGGGGGAUGGGAGUACCUGAGCAGUGUGGGGACCUGAUGGUGGGUGCCUGAGCUCAGAGCCCAUUGCCCUGAUUGAGGCUCUGGUGCAGUGAGGAAGAUCUGGGCAUAAUAUAGUGCACACUCUGUUCUGCAGUCUAGUCUGCUGCUCACUGCUAGGUUUACAGAGAAGAAAGCUGCUGCAUGCCAAAAUUACAUAAAUUCUGCUGGUUUCCUAUAGCCUAAGCCUCACAUUCACUAGGUAUGAUUACCUCAUGCUCACCUCUGCACCUGGGGAGUACACAAGGCCAACAAACAAGCCGAGCCAGAAAAAAGCUUCCUGGUUCCUGACAUCACUUUGCUUAUUCAGUGAAACGUGGUGUGCGAGGUCGGGGCGGGGGCACGUGGGGCUGCUGGGCGCAGUGCUUGUUUGUUGGGCUCAGCCUGGCCCUGGUGGGCUCUGCCAGGUGAGCUCUGGUUGCAGGAGGGCAGUGAGGGCAGUGUCACUCUGGGGGAGCACGAGCUGUUCCCUACUCACGUGGGCAAUGCUGCUCAGGAGGGUGAAACAUGAGCUUUUCUUCGCUGGAGGGCGGCAGGUGACGGUCAUGAACAACGACCAAGGCAGGAAAACCUCCGCAGAUAAAGAAGUGCCUUUUCAGCCCAAACAAGGGGUUUCAUAGACAAUUUUUAUUUGUUUUAGAAUUUGUGUUUCCCCGUGAAAACUUGAUAGAUUUUCCUUUUUAAAUCAAAAUAUCUUUUCAAGGGAAACAAGACCUCAUUUACCUUCCUCUGCGUAAAGCUUGCUGUCUUCUUCAGCUGUCCCAUGAGCUUGUAGGUAGAAGUUAGCACACAUUAUAUGGAACAGAAAGAUGAUCUAUAGUAAGGACCGCUGUGUUUUCAUUUGUAUGCGCUCCAUUCUUACGUGAUGCUUUGAGCCAAGUGAUGCUGGAGGCAGUAGGAAGGUGGGACAGGCUCAAGGCUCGCUGUCUUUAACUGCAGGUUUCACAAUACAAAGGAGCCGCACCAAUGAGGGAGGCACCACUGAUGCCUGGGCUCUGGCGUGCUCUCACUUUGCCAGACACCCAAAACCCAUGUGUGAGUGAGGCACUGUAGUGUCUCAACCACAGGUUGUGUCAUAAAGCAAAAUCCAUCCGCAUUUCCUCAGUUCCAGCCUUCGGGAACUGUUGGCUUUCCUUUCACCCGUCUGUCUGCCUUCCCGGCUAUUGCUACGAAGCGCUCUGCCACGCCUUGCUGCUCUAUGCCCUCAUCUAAGUCGUUAAUUAAAUCACUCAGUGGGAGCAUCAAGAUAGUCACGGGAUGGAACGAGUGAUCCCAUUGCUGCCACGGUUGUCCUCCUGCUCCCUCCCCACCCACCUCUUCCAUUUCGCUCCUGUUGUAUCAUGUCUCUGUGGAACAUUACCAUUUCAAGGCAGAGACUGUGCCAUUGUUUUCUGAGAACCACCCAGGAUAGUGAAGGGAGCUCAGUAAUAAUAACUAUUAUUAACACUGUGGUAGAGGGCGGAAUUUGGCUGCUGUAUCCUUUUUGUGUGCAGGGCUUUAUGCUGAGAUACACUGCUCUGCUCUGGCGUGUGCAUGCACUUGGAAAAAAUAGAGCAUAUGGACUUUUCUUCAGUUCCCAACAUUCCUGAAAGUACUUUUGAGUCAUUGUAGCUUGAAAAUGUCCUUUGCAGCGAGCUCCUCCUGUCCCUGUGCUGUGCGUGUCCCCGCUGGAUGAGCGGUGCUGCAGGCCACGAGGUGCCCCGUGAUAGCGGCUGUGAACAGGCGGCUGUGCUGCUGCGAGGUGGGGGGCUGGCGGGCACUGAGCAGCUCAGGAGCUGUUGCUGCAGAAGUGGGUCUGUGUGUAGGUCCCACUGUUCCUCAGCCUCAAGUCUCGCCUGUUUUUUUAACAUAAUUGACUUAAUUAGCUCAGUUGAAUGGGGAUUGUACAAUAAAUGGAAUCUACAUGCUUCCUCUGAGGAGUGGUGCUGUACACAGCAACUGGAGCAGCAGUGUUUCUUUAGCCCACACCAAACUCUUGGUUUGUACUGUGACUUGCAAAAGAAAUGAUGUCACUAAUACAACGACCACUCAUUUCUGUGUUUCUCAGUGGGUCUUCUGACAGGAUCGUUUCAGUGACUGCCCUCCAGCUCAGUAUUUAUUUCAAACAUCAGUUUCACAUCUAGUAAUAGCCAUUUACUUCUUUCUGAUUGUUUUGGUACCUGGUAAAGGGAGCAAAAGGGCAGAACCCUUCAGAAGCAGCAAGCACAUCCAAGUACAUCCAUUAUUGCAUUACCUCUGAUCAGGUUCUUGGAGCUUUGGUCACUUUUUUUUUUGUUUUGUUUUGUUUUGUUUUAAUUGAUUUUCUGAGUUAUUGAGGUUUGGAAUACAAAGUGUUCUUUGAUCCUUGGUACUGUUUUUUAAUACCCAAACUGUUUGAUGCUUCCUAUAGCAAAACGACAUCUUGCAGUUCAAUCAUCUCUCCAUUACAAAAUGAGGUCUGCAGGAUCCUCUGAUUUGUAUGGCUUAGGGGAGAACUUCCUAUCAGCUGGGACCGGAACUCAGUCUUUGGACCUCUUUUCUUCACCGUGUUUUAAGUCACUGUCUGACUCUUGCCAUUUAAUUAACUUUGUAGCACUUGACAGCAAAACAAGGAUGAUUUUAUAUUCACUCAGGAGGGUUAAGAUGCUUAAUUAGGCUGUGCUUUUGAAGUAGUUCCCUUAAUUCACUGCAGAAGAUCGGUGUAUUCAUGUAUAUCACAUGCACUGCAUUUAAAUAGGUUUAUACCAAGAGCAUUAGGUGAGUGUAUGCUUUGGAAGAACCUUGUGUGCACCUCUGCCCAUGAUAGCAUUUUGCGUCAGCUCACUUCUUUGAGUCAGAAAUGUAAAUGUGGUAAUCAAUAUCUCCGUGAGCCUGGAAGGCAAAGCCCCACAAUUAACAAUAACGUGCAGGUGAUAAUUAAGCUUGUUCUACAUGUCCCAGUUCUGGAGGCUGAUAACACAGACAAUCUCAGCUGCCUGGUCAUAGCUGAUAUUUGGGGACGGGCAGCAAGGAAGCUAAGAUAUUUUUUAAAAAGAUGAUGUGGUCAUGCAGGAAUGCAGUCAUGUGAAAAGUACCUAUGAUAGAGGGGGAAAAAAUGCUUCAUUCUUCCCUAGCUAGGUCUCUCCAUUUCUUCCCUGUGAUCAACAUAACACAUGUCAGAAACUGAGUUUACGUGGACCAAGACUUGGCACGUUGUACCAGCAAGGCAUUGGCUCCUGGUGAUGUGAGGCGCUGGCAAGGUGCUUGGGCCAGCGAGCAGCCCACACUAGGUGAUAAUUUAUGGCUACCUGUAAUCUCCUCUAAAUAGAAACCAUUUAUAUUCUUGCUAGGGAAGCGAGAAAUGACCAGACAAUGAGAGUUCAGCCAAACCAAACCUUCCUAUAACUCUGCAAAAGGCAAACGCUCUCUGGUACUGACAUUAACAAUGGUAUGGGCUCUUAGAAACCGUACAAUUUCGGUUUUAUUUAUUUUAAUACUGUUUGCCUGUGAAAUUUCAGAAGCUGGCAGUUUAUAAGAGCAGAAGCUGAGUUUUUACUCUUGGAUUUUGAUUCAGUUUCUUUAAAGCACAAGAAAGACUGAGCACCAGCCCAGUGCUGUGCAGCAUUUGUGCCCUCCCAAUGGGUGCUGUGUUGAUAACCCAAAGGUGCAAUACAACAGCCGUUACUCAGUGAUGCUGUUGAGCACUGCAGCAGUGGUGCAGAUGUUAUCCUUGCCCCACCCUGUGGUUUGGCAUCAUGCUGCCCUCCCUGCAAACUCCCAUCUAUGUGCUGGGAGGUAAGGACGGGUCUGGGGGUGCGCCAGGCCAUGGCCAGUGGGAGCUGUGCUGGAGGCAGUGAGUUUGGGGAAGGUGUUGGGCUUUGAAAAAAGCUGGUAGCCUGAAGGGGCAGCAGAGGCUGCUCUCAGUCCUCCAGGUACUUGGUCUGUGCUGCUGUGCUUGGGUGAAGGCUUCCAACAAUGGGCCUGAGGCCUCCUGUGGGAUCUGAUCACAUCAGGUCUUUGGGGGAUGCGCUUUGGUAAAUCAGAAAGUGAGCUCUCCACUCACAGGCCCUCUUCUCUCUCUAAGAUUUAGUAUGUCCAUAGUUGGCACCCAAAUGCUACGGUGUGAGUAUAGGCAUGCACUGAACUAACAGAUCCAGCUGGAGAAUCUCAGUUUGGAUCUACCUGUUUCUUGAACCUGGCUUAUUUAUAAGCUGAGAUCAAGGAUUCCACAUGACAUUUCCCCAAUCCCAUGGGUGCUAUGCCUAUUUCUGGUAUGAGCUAUUCUCUGCCCUGUCUGUCUGUAUGUGUUAUUUAUCUUUGCACAUGUGCCUAGCUUCAUGUUAUUAUUUAUGAAUGCUCCUCAUCAUUCUCCCAAAGAGAGCCCAACACUGCAAGGGGGCAGGGACUCUGUUUCUUACACACAGUAACUCAGUACAGCCUUUAGGCAUCACUGAAACUCAAAGCAUUCAUUCCAUUGAGUUUAGCCAGUAAAAAGCACUUCACCUGUCUCACACUUCUUGGAGUUUUACUGAUUUCCCUUCUGUGGAGCAACAACUUCACCACAAUUCUUCCCUUCUCUCUCUUUUAAAGUUUUCUUUUUUUUCUUUCUUUCUUUCUUUUUUUUUUUUUUUUUUUUUUGCUAACUGUUAAGCAAUUCCACCUGGAGAUGUGAGAACUUCACAGGCUGUAAAGCUUACAUCCUGCAAAUCUCCUUAUCCAGUAUUAAAAACAUCUAAAGGAGUGGAAGCACUGCUGAAAUAUAUUGUUAUGCUUAGGAAUGGACACAGGGAUGAGAUUUGCUCAACAAAAUAAUCUUUAUGGUUUUAGGAAUGGCACAGUGAAUUAAUAUGAAUCCAAUGGAAUUAUAGAAAUUACCUUCUACAGAAACAACUACUUUACAACAGUGAAGUUAAAGUCAUGAAAAAUAUCUUAAAAGCAGUUACUGUGAAAGUCCUUCUCUCCCCACAGUGACGUUUGCAAAGGGGAGACAUCUGUUUCUCAUGUAAAUUAAUACUUACACUUAAGAUACACAAUAGAAAUAUUUAUCAAAAAUAGGAUAAUGGCAAAGACUGAAAGGAUUGGUUUACGCACCCAUAGUGGAGGCAAGACAACACUUGCAAAUUGCGUAGAAGCACACUGAUCUUAAGUUGAAAUACUCUGUAUAAGCAUGGGAUUAUUCGUGUCUGUGUGUUUGUAUAUGCAUUUGUGUCUACGUACUUAGUAAUUGUUUCUAAUAGGUUAUGGUUUUGGAAAUACUAGCCUGUGCAAUACUAGUCCCAUCCUCAUAUUUACGUAAAACGUUUGCCAUUUUUCAUUGGCUUUAGUUCUUGUUAACUUAUGGAAAAGCUUUCUAGCUACACUUCCAUGCUCCGUUGUACCCUGCCAUCACCACAGCCAUACAGUGUGGUGCUCCCAGGCUUCUGUUUGAAACAAAGAUGUAAUGCAGAGCCAAGGAACUGCAUGAUGUAAAUCUGCAGAGUAUCCCAGUCCCUAUCACAGGCUUAUAUCUCCACUUGAUGAGUACUGAAAACCAAAGCCUGAUGUCAUGUGUGCAUUCUCAAAGGAACGAAGAAGAGCAUGUGAGCGUGUAGUUGUGUUACUGAAACAUCACCAUGUCUGUGCUGAACUGGAGGCAGCAGCAUGCAGAGCUUUGUGGUUCUUUAUGCCUUAAAGGAAAACCUUAUAACAUGUUUUUCUUCAUGUUGCCAUAACACUUUGUAUCUUAGCAAUAAAUACUGGGUAGAUUUAGUGUUAUCGCAAGAAAUUUGUGCUCCGGAGAUUUACUGUUCCACUCCCACAGCACCUUUAAACCCCACAUCAGUGGUAGGACAGCAAUUCCUGGCCGCCGUUAGGACCAAUUUACCUCAUUUCCUCUGUUUCAGCAAAGUGAGAUCGAAGAGGUUAGAAAAAUAACAAACAUAAAAACAGGAGGAAAGCUAUUGCUAACCUCUGCGUGUAACAGAGUCACACUUCAGAACAAGCCCAAAGGGUUCUGCUUGGCGGAGGCGAGGGGAAAUCUUUGUACUGCUGGGCUCACAUUGCUGCUUGUCGCUGUUGUCAUGUCUCAUCUGGGUGUCUUUAACAUGAAAUAAAAUAUUACCAUGCUAAGGACCAAAAAAGUGAGAAAUGCACUCAUCUGUGUCCCUGACUUGUGCCAAAGAAUUUUUCAUUCCUACCUCAGCUCUAAUGUGAAAUGUGUUAAAUGAAAAUCUCCAGGAGAGUAUCCAGAAUAGAUAGGCAUGUUUAGGUCAGCAUACCAUUUGGCAUUGCCAUGGACCUCGUCUCUAAUUACUAAAGAAAUAGUGAGUUAGUGACUUAAAGUCCACAGUGACUGUGACCUAAAUCAUUUCCAUUCUGGAUAGUGGCCUGAAAUAAAGAGGGCUUUUCAUUAGCGUGGCACAGAUUUAGUGUCGUGGGACAUGGAGUUUGUGCUUCAGAGGAAGUGCGGUCAAUGGGCCAUUAAGUUUUGAAACAAGAGGCAGACAUCUUCUAAUCUCAGUGCUGUUGACAAUAAAUAUUGGGG
RNAcentral lists this long non-coding RNA (10285 nucleotides) under Gallus gallus (chicken). RNAcentral's name for it is "lncRNA (ENSGALG00010020795.1)". The record is from RNAcentral. Lineage: Eukaryota; Metazoa; Chordata; Aves; Galliformes; Phasianidae.